Molecule: ribosomal RNA, 425 nt
Filed under: uncultured bacterium
Lineage: Bacteria
Description: bacterial SSU rRNA
Rfam family: Bacterial small subunit ribosomal RNA
Source: RNAcentral
GUGGGGAAUCUUGCGCAAUGGGCGAAAGCCUGACGCAGCCAUGCCGCGUGAAUGAUGAAGGUCUUAGGAUUGUAAAAUUCUUUCACCGGGGACGAUAAUGACGGUACCCGGAGAAGAAGCUCCGGCUAACUUCGUGCCAGCAGCCGCGGUAAUACGAAGGGGGCUAGCGUUGCUCGGAAUUACUGGGCGUAAAGGGCGCGUAGGCGGACAGCUUAGUCAGAGGUGAAAGCCCAGGGCUCAACCUUGGAAUUGCCUUUGAUACUGGCUGUCUUGAGUACGGGAGAGGUGAGUGGAACUCCGAGUGUAGAGGUGAAAUUCGUAGAUAUUCGGAAGAACACCAGUGGCGAAGGCGACUCACUGGCCCGUUACUGACGCUGAGGCGCGAAAGCGUGGGGAGCAAACAGGAUUAGAUAUCCGAGUAGUCC